AUUGAACGCUGGCGGCAUGCCUUACACAUGCAAGUCGAACGCAGUCUUCGGACUGAGUGGCGCACGGGUGAGUAACACGUAACUGACCUACCCCCAAGUCGCGGAUAACUGGCCGAAAGGUCAGCUAAUACGUGAUGUGAUGUCCCCUUUCUGGGGGGCCAUUAAUGGUUUACUGCUUGGGGAUGGGGUUGCGUUCCAUCAGCUAGUUGGCGGGGUAAAGGCCCACCAAGGCAACGACGGAUAGCCGGCCUGAGAGGGUGGCCGGCCACAGGGGCACUGAGACACGGGUCCCACUCCUACGGGAGGCAGCAGUUAGGAAUCUUCCACAAUGGGCGAAAGCCUGAUGGAGCGACGCUGCGUGAGGGAUGAAGGUUCGCGGAUCGUAAACCUCUGAAUCAGGGACGAAAGACGCGUAAGCGGGAUGACGGUACCUGAGUAAUAGCACCGGCUAACUCCGUGCCAGCAGCCGCCGUAA
RNAcentral lists this ribosomal RNA (475 nucleotides) under uncultured bacterium. RNAcentral's name for it is "partial 16S ribosomal RNA". It matches the Rfam family "Bacterial small subunit ribosomal RNA", at positions 30 to 523 of the family's 1533-position model. The record is from RNAcentral.